AACAGAAAACAGAGUUAUUGUAACUAGAUUGCCAGAGAGCAGAAAAUUUACCAGGGAGAAGGCCUGGAAGUUAUACCAGAUCAACUCAAAAUUACAGUUUUUCAGAGCUUAUAUACCUUCUAAGCUAUACGUCUACGUGUAGUUGUGCGUUCAUCUAAAGACGCUGUGAAGUCAAAAGGAAAAUGUAAGAGGCUGCCGAGUUCUCAGAGUGGGAUGAAUAGAAUCAUUCAUGUUCAUCUGGAGAGAAACAAGUUUUCCUGUGACUGAAUAUUAAGAGAAGUAUAUUAGAAGUCUCUUUUUCUAAAAGUUCAUAAGGUAGCAUAACACAUAAUAUAGUGCUUUUUUGCAAAGAAAAUGAAAAGUGUUACAAAAAUAUACCUUUCUCAUGCCAGUCUUCCAUAAAUGCUAAGGUCAUAACUGAAUUUAGAUUUUAUGUAAUGGUUUUGGGGGGAAUGAAAAUAAUUUGAUGGAGUAUAUUAUUUUUUGAUGCUCAGAAACAAAAUACAGUGAAAAGAGUUUGAGAGUCUUGUCUAUAUGUGUAAUUUAAUAUUUUGCUUAGACUGAGCCUCCCUCUUGCAUUAGAUAUACUUGAAGUGGGCUUUUUUGGCUAGUGCUAGAUCUCCGUAAGUUUGAAUUUUCAGAUGAGUGUUAAAGUAAUAAAAUGUUCUGCCAUUGGUUCAAAGAGGCUUAGAAUAUUAGGGAUGUUGGCAGGAAUGUUGACAUCCCACUGUGAAAAGCAUUUUUCUCUUCUUAGUGGAACUCUCACUGUUGCAAACCUCUUCUGAUUAGAUAAUGGAGGAGACCAGAUUUUGAGAGCACAUGACUUAGUCUUAAGCCCUCUAAAAAACAACGUAAAUCUCAAGUAUCUUUCCUAGCAUUGCUAACGAUGAUUAAAGAUUAUAGCUACAAGGUCAUUAGGCAUUAAACGAUUUUGAGGCCCAGUGUUGUUUGUUUCUUUCCCAGACAGUGGAAUAAUUACUGAUUAAAGCAUGGAGUCUCAACUCUCAAUGUGUUUGCAGAUGGUCAGGGAAUAAAACUCUGAACUAUUAUUUCAGCAGAAAUAAUGUUUUAUAUAUAUUCAUUAUGAAUAAGAACAAAGCCUUAAAAAUUUGGUUGAUCUUUUGCCCCAAAAUCACUUGGCAAUGCUUGCUAAAAAACAGAAAAUAAUUCAUGUAAAUACUAAAAUCUCUAUUUUAAACAAAACUUCCAGGUGACUUAUAUACAGGAGUCUUUGUGGACACUUUGAGAAAUAAUGGAUGAGAAUGGUAACCUUAUAUUUAAUGGAUCGACUGGUCAUUUUGAUUGUGUGGACACCCAGUUAAAGUGUAAUGACUAAGGUCAUCUCUAAAGACUGAUUUUAAUGAUCUCCUUACAAUUUUACUUGAAGGGAGUUAUUCAUGUUAUUCUCCAGGCAUGAAAUGUAAUGAUCUGUUUUAUUAUUGUUAAUUUAUGCUCAAGCUUCCUUUUGCUCUUCUUUUUAACCAACAUAACAAUUAUACAGUCUAACUAUUUGCCUCAGGGAGAUGCUGUAAUAGGACUAAUUAAAUAUUUAAUAUUUUAAAGGACUUAAACAACCUUGUAAGUAAUAUGUUAAGAGGAGAUAAAAUCAUGAUGAUCUCCUUAGUAGGAGGAAUGUUAAUGAAGCACUGGGGUCAGGCAUUCCUUUAAUGCCCAUGUCUUGUAUCUGCCAGAGGCUGAAUGGUUUAAUGGUUAAAUACAAGACUGUUGUAACCUAUGGCUGUUCUUCUACUUCCUAGUUGGAAAGCCUAGAACAAAUUUUUUAACCUUCCUAUGCCAAUCUCAUAUUUCUCACCUUUAGAGUGAGGAGAUAAGAAUACCACCUACCUUUUUGGAUUGUUGUGAUGACAUAUGAGGUAUGUGUCUAUCGAAAGAAAGUGGUUUUUAUUAAUAUGAAUUAAUACCAUAACUAUUGGUAUUACAAUAUCAGUUCAAUACAAGUAUUGAAUUCAAAACUUAUAGAUUCUUAUUUUAAAACUAGCAAUAAAAUGGAUAUGUACUU
Molecule: long non-coding RNA, 2020 nt
Organism: Homo sapiens (human)
Lineage: Eukaryota; Metazoa; Chordata; Mammalia; Primates; Hominidae
Exons: 3
Source: RefSeq, a predicted model, not a curated record